RNAcentral lists this long non-coding RNA (628 nucleotides) under Homo sapiens (human). RNAcentral describes it as "HSALNT0045711". The record is from RNAcentral. Lineage: Eukaryota; Metazoa; Chordata; Mammalia; Primates; Hominidae.
AGCCCCUCAUUUGCAUGUGUCCCUUUCAAGACCUUGUGCCUAACUUUAUACUCAUAAUGUUCUAUCCUUUUUCUUAAAGAGGGUCCAGAAUCAUCUAAGCUUCAAACCCCACAAGCCUGGGUCUGUUCCGAGGUGGGUGCUCAGAUGGCAGGAAACAGCUGACACAUCAGCAGGCCGGGAGAUGUGGAAGGAAGAGAUGGCAAACUACCAGCAAGGCACCAACAAAGCCUGGGCAAGUUCAACGUGAGUCUCCAGUGGUGGGGAUGUGUUUCAUUAUCCUCCUGGUGCCCUCUGAUAAGGCUUAGACUGUUUCGUGCUCCUUUUCUUUUCUUGAUCAAGACAGAAGACAGCGGACAGUUGGGAUGGAAAGAAAACUGGGACAGAUACUGCCUGUGCUGCCUCUUCCCCUUUCUUCCUGCCUUGAAUGUUGGCAUGAUGUCCAGAGCAGAAACCCGGAUAGUGUUGUGACUCUCAACCAAUGUCAGCAGCCUGUAGUUCCAGAAUCUUUACUGGAGAGGAAAAACUCCACUAUUAGUUGAGUUUUCUUGCAGCCCAAACAUUUGUAACAGAGAAGCCGUCCUGACUCUUGCCUUUAUCUUGAGUGAUUACUAUCUACACAUGGAUUUUC